Molecule: unclassified non-coding RNA, 6005 nt
Filed under: Hevea brasiliensis (rubber tree)
Lineage: Eukaryota; Viridiplantae; Streptophyta; Magnoliopsida; Malpighiales; Euphorbiaceae
Source: RNAcentral
CCCAAUUGUUGGGAUGCAGGUAUAGUUUCUAUUUGAUUUACUUUUUGUAUCAUAUAACGUUAAACAAUUUUGGUUAUAUAUUUAUUUAUUUUUGGCAAUUCUUACUCUUUAAGUUCAGUUCCUCGAAAGGCCUCUUGGAUGCAGAAUCAUUCGAGGCACCAAUUGUUCACCUGCUAAGCCUAAAGGUUUCAAGCUAAGCAUUUUCAUCAGGAGAAAGGAUGAGGAUGAUAGAAGAAUAACUAUGCAUAGGGUACAAAUUUGCGUCAAGGAAGUGAGCAUACUGUUUAAUAGCAGUAUCUCUUCCAGGGACGUCGCUGGAAAGAAAGUCGUAUGGCGCAGGCUUGCUAGUGUCUACCAGAGGCUCCCAUCUGUAUCCUGGCCGUUCAGGCAGUGCUAUGAUAACAGGCAAAUGAUUAGCAUUGAAAGCAACAUAGAUCUCUCCCUUUGCCGAGUCCAUCUGUGACAACCCAUGCUAAGCAUCACUUAAAACAACAGGUGAUGCCAAAAAGGACAUCAAGAAUAAACCUAAAGGACAAUGGUUGAGGCACCGUAGCAAUUGUGAGAAGUGAACUAUUAUUUUUCAAACUUUGCAAAUUCUAACAGUUUUGGACCCUAAAAGAGGCAUCUAUCUAUACCAUAAGCUACUCUUCUCUAUUAUUUUGUAAUAAUUAUUAUCUUUUUUCACAUUUUCAGCAACUUUACCAAUUUCAGUUAUCAUACUUUUCACAAAUGUCGAUAUGAAUCCAAGAAAAAGGACAUCACAAAAAUAACACUGCCCAUCCUACUUCUAGGAAAGUAUCAAAGACAGGCAUCUCUAUAUUAUCAAUUCAUAAGCAUGGUCUGAUCACUUCCACUUUGACAAGGUCUGAUCACUUACAGUCAGAGGAAAAUUAUCUACUUGAGAAAUGAUCCUAUACACAUGCAGUGCACGGCCUCUAAAUUUUAAGACAAAAUAUGGUUAUAAGUUUUUGAUUACCUACAAAUUAUUGAACUAAAAGAAGAUACAUCUGAAGGAGACUCUGAUUGAAAUUUUAACGCGUUCUCCUUGCUUGUUUCCAGCGUAAAUGCCACAAAACGGCUUGUUUCAGACCAAUCUGGCACCCCAGGGUUAUGACCAUGCCAUUGUAACCUCUCUGCUGUUGGGAAAUCAUUCAGACCAAGGGACUCGCAUUCAUGGCGGAACUUGGUCAUCAGGCAGCAAAAUCUAUAGAAAUCUGAUGACGACUCUUCCUUCUUAUCCCACCGGAAGUAAUUAAUCUGCAUCACAUCACAUGAUCAGUAAAUAUUAUCAGCAGUUGCUUCUGAAAUAGAUGCCAGACAGCAGCAGAUUGCAGAGGAUCACAUAGUUAUCAUGGCAAUAUGUAUUGUUGUUUCCCCCUUUUGUGUGACCAUAUUCAUCCCCCAUAUAUAUCAUUGGAACGCCCUGGUAAAGACAAAAGAUCAAGGUCAGUUUAUAAUGUCCUUUCUGGGUUAAGAUAAAAUUAGGUAACUACAAUAUGCGUUUCAGCACCAUUAGCGCAGAUAGGUGCAGAAAGAGCUGAGAGCUCUCACAACCAACUUACAAAUUUAACUGAAUUGUAGCAAAGAAGAAAACUGGAUGACAGUAGAAAAGCAUCUGAUGAUGAUUCUUAUCUAGUUAUAUAAUGUUAAUGUUAGAUACUUGCAAGAAAAUUUGACCUGCUAUAUAGGUUUCUACUUUCGAAAGUAUUGCCCAUUAAUUUUCUAUUCCCACCACAAUAUAAUAUUAUGCACCAGCUUCAGGCUUUUUCGGUCAUUCAACAAUCUUUUGAAAAGACCGUCAACUUUUGAGGCAAAGUUUAAGUGGACCAUCUUCCAUAGCAUAAAAAAUAUAAUAAGAGCCACUCUAAUUGAUCUGUACUGGUGCAACAAUACAGUGAACUACUUGUUUUAGGACUACUACAAUCUGUUAUUUAACACUUUUCUUACAGGAGUAGCUUAAUUUUCCGAGUUCAACAGUGUGCUUUUUUGGAGUCAAGUACGCUCUCUCUUUUAUAGUAUAUAUUUGAGGAGAACUGUAAUUUGAUUUUCUUUUCUUGCUGAAGCAUUUCAAUUAGUUCAUUGCUUACUGUCCACUGGAGGAAAGAGAUGGAAGAAAAAGAUGAAGGAAGACUGAUAAAAAGAAACAGUAAAGGCUCAGUCAAGUCUAGAAUAGGAAAAUAAGUAGAAAUGGAGACAAGCUUGCAGAUUUGGUAAAGCAAAAGAAGAUUGUAAAACAUGGAUAAGAGGAUUAGCAACUGGAAUUAUGAAGUGACGCCUAUGUGUUCCUCCCCAAAAUAAAAGCAACUUUAAGAAAUGGAGAAUUGACAGAUGAUGGUUGGGUGAAGUGAUAAUGUAAUUAGGACUGCAAAUUAAGUACACAGAUGAUAAUAUUUGACUCCCUUUCUGCCCACUUACUCUUUUUUCCCCCCUCCUGUUUUCCAGGGAAUUAUAAGAUACAUGAUCAAGGAAAUUAAGUUUUCUCAUUACAACAAAUGUACACAGUAUUGUAUGUUGCAAAAUGCAAGCUCCCUUCUCAUCUGUCAUUGAUACAGUAGAACAUGAGAUCAACCAGGCUCUGAUGUAAACUCUUCUCCAUUUCCCAUUAAUCCUCUACAAAAACAGCUGUUCUAGGAGACUCAAAAUAGAUAUCUCAGCCACAAGUAGAGAAGUGCAAAAUCUAUCAUGUACUACUCAAAUAUCUUUAAUUAAUGGGCUAAAAGAAGUCGCAAUUAUCCCAAAUGUAAAUGUGCGAGUAUAAAAUGAAACUUACUUGUGAAACCAUGAGACAAAGAAAGAAAUUACACAUUUGUCGUUUCCUCAACUUCUUCACUGAGACGCUUGCAAACUCCCCUUCCUAUGCAGUGAUUUAACGAAAUAGAAUGAAUUAGCAUAAAUAAGGAAGCCAAAUAAGACCAUUUCCUGGAAUGAUCAAAUUUACAUAAACUGAAAAAAAAUGUGAUCAUACAAUUUGCUCUAACAAGAGGGUGUAAGUAGAAGAAAGAGUUGCUAUGCCAGGUAAUCUAAUGAUUUUGCCUCUUCAUUUUUCCUCCUAUAAAAUCCAAGACAUAACUACAUACAAGAACAUAAAAAUAAAAAAUAAAUAAAAGUAACUCCCUCCAGUUAAGUUGAAUAGCAGUCAAAGAAACCACCCCAAAAGCCCACAGAAAUGCAAAAAACCACCUUGUCCCACAAUAAAUUAAAAGACAAAAAUGAUUUUCGAAGUGGGCAUUCCUUUCCAUCCAAAUUCAAACAAUAGCAGAGCUAACUUUACCUGUCCACAGUUCCAGCUAUUGUUAUGGUUUUCUCCAUCAUUGUUGUCUUCCCCAUUUGCCAAGUUAUUUUUGUUGUUAUAAGUCACCAAAUCAGCCAAAGUAAAACCAUCAUGUGCACAUACAAAGUUGAUGCUGUUCCAUGGUUUCCUUCCUCCUUCCUGGUAUAAAUUAGGGCUCCCACAUAGGCAUUCGGCAAAAGCCCCAGAAAAGCCAUCUGUACCCUUGAUGAACUGCCUCACGGUGUCACGAUACUUCCCAUUCCAUUCCGACCAUAUUUGCCAAUGAGGAAAUGUACCAACUUGAUACAAGCCUCCUGCAUCCCAUGCUUCAGCUAUGAGCUUUACUUCACGAAGUAUUGGAUCAUUACUUAUCAUGUCAAUCAAUGGAGGGCUCCCAAGAGGGGUGCCAGUCGUCAACAAGUCACCUUCUAUUGGAUUCCCAAAUACGUUCACUGGAUCCCAAAGACUAGUUGAGAAACGAAAGUUAAGAAAAUCAUCGUUUAAUAUAAUCGACGUUUAAUAUAAAAUUACAAGUCUAAAGAAUAUUCAGAUUGUUUAACAACAACCUACUACCCCUGGUCAUAAUAGAAGCAAGAUCAAAGCGGAAGCCAUCCACAUGCAUUUCUAUUACCCAAUAUCUGUAUCACAAGACAGCAAAAUCAAAGCCUUCAAAUACAAUAGCAAAGAAGUAAAUUCACAAUUAAACAUGAUACAUAUUAUAUAAAAAAGCUUGUCACCCACAAGCAUAGUAAACAAGAAUGUAAAGGAAAGUAAAACAUAAUAGACACAUCAAGCAUUGACUUCCUCUAUAAUCUUAGUUUCGCUCCCAUAAGCCAUUGACACUUGGCCACCAUCUAACUGGCAUGGUUUUAGAUAGCAGCAAAUGGCAGGCACAGGGUAUUCCUGCAUCAAUCCCACUACAAACUACCAUUGCAACCUUAGUUAUGUUAGCUUGUUAAUUAAUAAUGCUCGGUCAUUUGAUUACCUUUCUAUAAAAUUAUAAGAAAAAAAAAAAGUAAGGAAUCAUAUGAGUGACAUCUAAAAAACUUCAUUUAGGAGUUCUAAAACAUUCCAAGCCAUGGAUAAUAUUUUAACUGAAAGUUUUGAUGCAUUAACAGAAUUUCAAUUGUAUCUAGAAAAAGGAAUAAACAUCAAACUAAAGAAUUGAUAAGAUAAAAAAUGGUGUCUUCUUCCAUUUUUCCUUUUAAUCUCAGCCAUAAACUGGGCAUAGAGAGCUCUCACACAUUUACCUUAAACAGUCCAAUAAAAAUUGGCGCACAAUAGGAUGGUUGCAAUUGAAUGUGUUCCCACAACCCGAAUAAUUAUAGAACUCUCCCUUAGGAGCAAGCAUGUAAUAGACACUGUUAUCAACUCCUCUAAAAGAUAAGAUGGGGCCUUUCUCAUUUCCUUCAGCUGUGUGAUUGAAAACAACAUCCAUGAUCACCUCAAUUCCUCGUUUAUGAGCUUCUCUAACAAGAAAUUUGAACUCAUGAAUUGCAUCACAGCCACAGUUAUGUGUCCCAGCAGAAGAAUAUCUUGUCAUAGGUGAAAAGUAAUUGACAGUAGAAUAACCCCAAAAGUUCAUCUUGUAGUCACCCAAGACAGAAUUGUAACUGAAGUACUCCAGCUCGUUGAAUUCAUGGCAUGGCAUUAACUCUAUGCAGUUGACACCAAGUUCCUUCAAGUGAUCAAGCUUUUCCACAGUAGCAAGAUAUGUCCCAGGGAAUUCAGUUCUGCUAGAUUCAUGUCGUGUAAAACCUCGAACAUGCAUCUCAUAUAUCACCAGAUCUUUCUGCGGAUAUUUCAAUGGUAAAUCUCCUUCCCAGUCAAACUCAUCUUGAGCAGCAGGAAUCAUGCCAGCCAUUUGGGGCCAGCAAUUAUCAUCAGGUCCCAAAACACCAAAUUCCCCUCUGCUUAUUACUGCUUUUGCGUAAGGAUCCAACACAAUCCGAGAAGAAUCAAAGUAAUGUCCUUUCUCAGGAGAAAAUUUGCCAUCAAAUCGGUAGCCAUAUAACAUAUCUUCAAAAUUUCCUUUGAGAAAUACAUGCCAAAUAUCCCCAGUCUUAUUAGCGAGUGGAUCAAGUGGAAUCUCCUCAGUCACUGUAUUCUCCAGCAAAUCAUCGAGAGAAAUCAAACAGAGAGAAGCAGAAACGGCAUUGGCAGAAUAGACAGCGAAAUUAACUCCACCAUCACUAGCAGUGGCCCCAAAAGGUGCCGGAUAGCCUUCAGUCACCUGAAAUUUUCCCAAUUUGGGCUUAUCGACAACCACAGCAGUCUCCACCUCUGCUCCUCCAUCUCUUCUGGCGGCUUGAAUCAAUGGAGGAGCCUUCUUGACAUUUAAUAAUGAUUGAGAAUGAAAAGAGCAUCUCCUUCGCCGGAAUUUGAGAAAUUCAGCGGCACCCUUCGUUGGAAGAGGAUUGAGCAAGGAAACACAGAGGAAGCGUGAGGUAGCAGAUUGAAUUAACUCCAUAUUAAUAUUAAUUGGUCAUAAUCACCAUCGCCAUCGUCGUCGUCGUCGUCGUCUUGGUGCAGAGUUGAGGACUAGAUAACAUCUAAAAUCUGUGGAUUUGUUUUCGCCACCAAAUUUCCGCUAAGUGCGCAGUCACUAAUCACUCUCCACUAGGUAACUUCCCUCACUGCUCACUCAGCUGAGCUGCCAAUUAGACAAACGGAGAUCCAGAACUGUAACAUUUUGCCUGGGAUGAUAUCCAGAAUCCAACUUUUAAUUAUUGGG